This 429-nucleotide ribosomal RNA is filed under the name Actinomycetes bacterium. RNAcentral's name for it is "Actinobacteria bacterium partial 16S ribosomal RNA". It matches the Rfam family "Bacterial small subunit ribosomal RNA", at positions 355 to 776 of the family's 1533-position model. Lineage: Bacteria; Bacillati; Actinomycetota; Actinomycetes. The record is from RNAcentral.
UAGGGAAUCUUCCGCAAUGGGCGAAAGCCUGACGGAGCAACGCCGCGUGAGUGAUGAAGGUCUUCGGAUCGUAAAACUCUGUUAUUAGGGAAGAACAAAUGUGUAAGUAACUAUGCACGUCUUGACGGUACCUAAUCAGAAAGCCACGGCUAACUACGUGCCAGCAGCCGCGGUAAUACGUAGGUGGCAAGCGUUAUCCGGAAUUAUUGGGCGUAAAGCGCGCGUAGGCGGUUUUUUAAGUCUGAUGUGAAAGCCCACGGCUCAACCGUGGAAGGUCAUUGGAAACUGGAAAACUUGAGUGCAGAAGAGGAAAGUGGAAUUCCAUGUGUAGCGGUGAAAUGCGCAGAGAUAUGGAGGAACACCAGUGGCGAAGUCGACUUUCUGGUCUGUAACUGACGCUGAUGUGCGAAAGCGUGGGGAUCAAACAGG